UUUUUUUUUUAAAUGUAAAAAAAAAAAAUUGCGGGUUGGCGGGUACCCGCAUUUCAAAAUCCACCAGCCUGCACCCGCCCCGCAUAAAAUGCUCAUAUCCCGCACCCGCACCCACAAAUCAAUUUUUCUAAAUUGUUCGACCCGCACCCGCCCCGCGGCGGAUCAAAUGGGCCGGGCCCCGCGGUAAAAACUCAUAUUCCCAGGCCUAAUCACCACUAUUCCUCGGACUAAGUCCGCUCUCCUUUCUCCCACACCCUCUCUCCUAGCUUUCAGAUCUGUCUUGAUUCAGAUUUGAUACCAAAGUUUCGAUAUUUACGAGGAGGAGGGUCUGGAGUUGCAUUGGCCGAGAGAUAGACCAGAUGGAGGGAAAGAAGAGAAAAAGAGUGUGAAUUGGAGUCUUUCGCGCAGAACAGUCGACCAGAGCAGCCUGAGUGCAUGCUCCAGCGGCAGAGAUAAAAAAGGAAGUUUCCAAAUAUUUCGGGAUUUGCCUUAGAUUUCCUGUUUUUCCAUAUAGCCGCAUGUGGCUCCUAUAUAUAUAGUCUUUUAUUUAUUA
Molecule: long non-coding RNA, 553 nt
Organism: Brassica napus (rape)
Lineage: Eukaryota; Viridiplantae; Streptophyta; Magnoliopsida; Brassicales; Brassicaceae
Exons: 2
Source: RefSeq, a predicted model, not a curated record